GAUGAAGAACGUAGCGAAAUGCGAUAAGUAAUGCGAAUUGCAGAAUUCAGUGAGUCAUCGAAUCUUUGAACGCACAUUGCGCCCGCCAGCAUUCUGGCGGGCAUGCCUGUUCGAGCGUCAUUUCAACCCUCGAGCCCCCCCGGGGGCCUCGGUGUUGGGGGACGGCACACCAGCCGCCCCCGAAAUGCAGUGGCGACCCCGCCGCAGCCUCCCCUGCGUAGUAGCACACACCUCGCACCGGAGCGCGGAGGCGGUCACGCCGUAAAACGCCCAACUUUCUUAGAGUUGACCUCGGAUCAGGUAGGAAUACCCGCUGAACUUAAGCAUAUCAAUAAGCGGAGGA
This 343-nucleotide unclassified non-coding RNA is filed under the name soil metagenome. RNAcentral describes it as "partial contains 5.8S ribosomal RNA, internal transcribed spacer 2, and large subunit ribosomal RNA". The stretch from base 1 to 120 matches the Rfam family "5.8S ribosomal RNA", at positions 35 to 154 of the family's 154-position model. The record is from RNAcentral.